Molecule: ribosomal RNA, 305 nt
Filed under: uncultured bacterium
Lineage: Bacteria
Description: bacterial SSU rRNA
Rfam family: Bacterial small subunit ribosomal RNA
Source: RNAcentral
CUAAGCCUACGGGACGCAGCAGUGGGGAAUAUUGGGCAAUGGGCGCAAGCCUGACCCAGCAACGCCGCGUGAAGGAAGAAGGCUUUCGGGUUGUAAGCUUCUUUUGUCAGGGACGAAGCAAGUGACGGUACCUGACGAAUAAGCCACGGCUAACUACGUGACAGCAGCCGCGGUAAUACGUAAGUGGCAAGCGUUAUCCGGAUUUAUUGGGUGUAAAGGGCGUGUAGGCGGGAAUGCAAGUCAGAUGUGAAAACUAUGGGCUCAACCCAUAGCCUGCAUUUGAAACUGUAUUUCUUGAGUGCUGG